Molecule: transfer RNA, 76 nt
Filed under: Mesorhizobium sp.
Lineage: Bacteria; Pseudomonadati; Pseudomonadota; Alphaproteobacteria; Hyphomicrobiales; Phyllobacteriaceae
Also listed under: 7 other names
Description: tRNA-Val
Rfam family: tRNA
About the family: Transfer RNA (tRNA) molecules are approximately 80 nucleotides in length. Their secondary structure includes four short double-helical elements and three loops (D, anti-codon, and T loops).
Source: RNAcentral
GGGCGAUUAGCUCAGCUGGUAGAGCGCUUCGUUUACACCGAAGAUGUCGGCGGUUCGAGUCCGUCAUCGCCCACCA